Molecule: long non-coding RNA, 1238 nt
Organism: Arachis duranensis
Lineage: Eukaryota; Viridiplantae; Streptophyta; Magnoliopsida; Fabales; Fabaceae
Exons: 2
Source: RefSeq, a predicted model, not a curated record
CGAUGAUCGGUCCGAUUUUCAGAACCUUACUUAUAACAACUUAAUGGAUGGAUAUUUUUUGCUUAAUGAGGUAAAUAAGGUAAAGUAUAUAUUCCGUACAAUGACCCAAGGGGGAGUGUCUCCUGAUAUUUGGAGUUACAAUAUCAUGAUCCACGGCUUGUGCAAAAGUGAAAUGGUCAAUCAGGCAUUCGAACUCUUCGACAUAAUGUGUUCGAAUAACUUGGUUCCUGACGAGGUAACUUUCAGUAUCCUAAUUGAUGGCUUGGGAAAAUCAAGGAGAAUCGAUGAAGCUUUUGAGCUUCUUCAAAAGAUGCAAGAUGGAGGUCACCCAGCUGAUUUAGUCAUGUAAAAUCCAUCGAUCAAAAUAUUGUAUGUCCAAGUGUGUGGAUUAUAGCCUUUAGUGGAAAGAUGUUCAAAAAUCUCUUUUGCAUCCUUAUUUCUUCCAUUUUUUCACUGGCCAUCUAUAAGAAUGUUGAAAGUGACUACAUCAGCUGGAUGACCUUCAUCUUGCAUCUUUUGAAGAAGCUCAAAAGCAUCAUCGAUUCUCCUUGAUUUUCCCAAGCCAUCAGUUAGCAUACUGAAAGUUACCUCGUCGGGAACCAAGUUCUUAGAACACAUUAUGUCGAAGAGUUCGAAGGCCUGAUUGACCAUUUUACUUUUGCACAAGCCGUGGAUCAUGAUAUUGUAACUCCAAAUAUCAGGAGACACUCCCCCUUCGGGCAUUGUGCAGAAUAGUAGGAUGGAUUCGAGUAAUAAUGCAAGUGGGGGGAAGAAGGUGAAGUUUCAGCACCCUAAAUGCAAGUGUGGAACUUAUGCGAUCAUCCUAGGAUCUGGAACUGUCAAGAACCCAGACAGAAUUUUCCUUGGUUGUUGCUAUGAACAUACAGAAUGACCUCACUGCAACUAUUUCGUGUGGCUGGACGAGUUGAUUUCUUGUCAUGUUGAGAAGAAUGAUGAUGCUAGAAAACAGAUUGGAGCAACUGGCAUAUAGAAGGUUGAUUUGGGAAUUGAAGGAAAAUCAAAGAAAUGGAGUAAUCAGUUCAUAGUCUCUGUUAUGCUAGCCAUGUUAAUUUCAUUAGCAACAGUGAAGUAUCUUGUAGUUUGGGAUAUAGAUAUUGUAUUGCAAUCAUUGAUGUAUGGUUAGGGUUGAUAAAUGGAUUGUUAUGCCCCUAUAAUUGCAUAUUCUAUGUGAAUAGAUUGUGACUUUGUUGCAUUAAUGAUAAUAUAAUUUUGUGCAA